Coffea arabica (coffee) is the source of this 1772-nucleotide non-coding RNA. The record is from RefSeq and is a predicted model, not a curated record. Lineage: Eukaryota; Viridiplantae; Streptophyta; Magnoliopsida; Gentianales; Rubiaceae.
GAUGGAAAGGUAGGCUGCUGAACUUUGUUCGUUGUCACAUUAUUGUAAUCCUAGAAGAAAAUCAAGCUACGAUUCCACUCUUACAUUGAUCAUUGAACCACACUAUGCUUUUGGCCUUAUUCUACUUAUACAUUGAACCAUACUGUGCAUCUGUUUCUUAAAAUCUAUUUUUGCUAGAAGAACAGAAUCCAGAAUUUGUAUUUGUUCCAUCUUUAGUUUGCCCAAAAUAGCUGAACCAAUCUACAGAAAAGAGCCGACAAUGCCAACAAUUGCUUUGCAGCGACCUUUUCUGUUGAAAACUUCAUCUUUCGGAAUCAAAACGCCACACCGCAAUGACAGAGCUUCUGGCAUUUGGACAAUGUCAGCGAAUUGGAAUCCUUCACAAACAAGAAAGCAAAUGGAAAUCUCAAAAGAGCUUCGAACUGUUUCUGCUACCGAAUCUGUGCCAGUGGUAGCUCCGGCAGAACUCCAAUUUGACAAGCCGCAACCACAGGAUCAAAUGCUCUUUCAAGAAAACCGACUUCAGUUUGGACAGUUUGUGGCUCGUAAGGCUGUACUAGACGAAGAGUAUUGGGUGCGUUGACAUAAUUAUUGGUUAUUUUCCAUGUCAGUUGGCAAUCAUGUUUUCUAGUUAUUCCUCAUGGCUAAUUUGCAGCGGUAGCUUCGUCAUUUUUUCUUUUCUUUUCUUUUUGGGUGGUAGACAGCAGCUUGGCUGCGAGCAGAGAGUCACUGGGAGGACAGAAGAAAUGACAGAUUUGCUGACAACUACAAAAGGAAGUUUGCGGAGCAGGAAUAUAAUGCACUAAAAAGAAGAUCCAACACACAACUAGGGCAUAAAUGCACCUGCAUGGUGGCGGUAUGAGCCGUAAAGAAGGAAAACAGAGACGUGAAACAUACUGUGCUGAAGAGUGUUGUUGGAACACUAGACUUGAGCAUCCAAUACUUGUCACAAGGAGAGACCUUUCCAGGGGUACGAGUUUGAUUUGAAUAUUCAGCUGAUCAUUAGUAGGCAUCGAAGUUUGAUUGCUUUAAGAUCUGGAUUCUGAAUUGAUCAUCCGUAGGCAUCCAUGCUCACUGCCUUGCAGUCAUUGAAAGUUUUGCUCUCUGACAGGAACGGGUGAAAAAUCCUCUCUUCUGCAGUAUUGAUAGAAAAUCCUGCAGAAGAUAUGGUUACAUAUCCAAUUUAUGUGUUGCCAAAUCAGCACGCCGGCAGGGCAUUGCAAGCAAAAUGAUUCUCUUUGCAAUCAGCUCAGCAAAAAGAGAUGGCGCAGAACAGGUGUUUGUGCAUGUACAUAGGUUCAACACGCCUGCUCAGGAACUGUAUCACAAGAUGGGUUUUCAGAUGGUUGAAGCAGCAAGGUUUGACAAGUCAAAUGAGCAAAUUUAUUUGCUUCAACUCGGAUCAUGAAAUCCGUCCAACAAAUUCUGUUUGUUCCUUGCAGAAGCCUAUACCUUUUCGGUGCAACCAACCUCAGCCAAAAAAAAAAAAAAAAAAGGAACUGAAAACCCUAUAUUCAGACUUUCAGAGCAGUCCAAGCUCCACAUCGAAGAAACUAUGAGAAAGAUUGGGCUGGUGUCAAAUUUCUAAUUUAGCACUUUUACAUCUAACAAGUUUUCUGGAGUCUUGUAUUAGCUGCCUCCAGAGUCUAGAUUCCAGACCGACACAGCUACAAGGAAACUAGCUGUCUAACCAUUGUAAUUGUAAUCUUUGAUCAAACUAUAUUCCUUCACAGUCUGCAUCCAAUAGAAAGCGUAUCCUAAUUUAUAAUAAA